AAAAAAAAAAAAAAAAAAAACAGAAGACAGAAUUUUGAUCUUCAUUUUCAAGUUCCUUCGAUAAGACAAUAACCUCCCCUCCCCUUCUCCCCACACCUAAUUCAACUAAUGGCUGCCUAACAAGAUCGAAGAUGCCCGAUUUCUGCCCUUCACAGUUCCUCUGGGAAACUGCAGGGUCCCAAGAAAAGGCCUGGCCCGGAGGGGGAGAAAAUAAGGAUCCUAAGAAAGGUGUAGCUUCUCUAGGAGUCGCUGAGCUGGAAGGGUAAAUGAAGGAGACACUGUGCAGCCGGACAGAACUUCCCAUGCUGGUGUGAGACUUCUCGGUGAUGCAGCUGUUUGGGGGUAACUCCCACUUCCACAAGCACCCUCGACUCAUGCUUUUGGCAAGCGUAACAAGCCUGGCAUUCACAUCCUUGGAGCCCUGAAGGAGUGAGUCACCCACCAGGCAUGAGGUCUUAGUUGUUCUUGAAGGUGAACUCCCAAACAGGUGCGCUCCCGCAGAGCUGAAGGGGAACAACUUUCCCACACACACAGCACAUCCACUGUAGUUCCAGUGACCGGAAGUCGGGGGCACUCUCCCGACUUCCAUGAUUAAGGUGUUCACAGGGUAAAGGUCCUGACAUCUUCCACACUGCACGUCCCUAGACCCAUAAGCUGACCAGCAUGACAAGCUGUUCUCCAAAUGGAGAAGAGUUUUUGUUAUUUUGUUGUUGUUGCUGCUGCCGCCGCUGUUCUUCCUAGCCUCAUCUAACUCCUGUUUCCUUACUCUCUGACCCCAUUCACUAUUAAAGCUUCAUUUUGGCCAA
This is a long non-coding RNA of Arvicanthis niloticus (Nile rat), 806 nucleotides long. RefSeq lists it as uncharacterized. Lineage: Eukaryota; Metazoa; Chordata; Mammalia; Rodentia; Muridae. The record is from RefSeq and is a predicted model, not a curated record.